Non-coding RNA from Pseudonaja textilis, 733 nucleotides. Lineage: Eukaryota; Metazoa; Chordata; Lepidosauria; Squamata; Elapidae. The record is from RefSeq and is a predicted model, not a curated record.
UUUGGGGUGUGUGUGUGAAGGUGAAUGUUGAUUUCACGUCCUGGAUAUAGGAAGCAUCUGGCUAGCACUACUGGAAACAGGAUGUGGGACUUUAGAGGACAUUUCAUCUGAUCCAGUGGAGAUCAUCUUAUGUUCAUCUUAUGAAUGGUUGUGAGGUUAUGCACCAUCCGUUCUCCUGCAUCCUUCUGAGUGACGAGAAAGGAAGAAAAGGGUUAUUAAGGUAGAUCAUAUGCAACUAUGAAAACACAUCCUGAUGGUCUACUGAGGGAAGAACCUCUCUUUGAAACUUGAAAAAUAUUUGCUAGCCCACAUAGACCAAAAUGAAGUACACUCUCUCUUUCAAUAGAUCUGUUUCAUCCAUCAACUGUGUCAUUUCUCCAAUCACAGAAAUAUGGUAAAGACAAACAUUAGAGGGAAUAUAUCUUUCCAAAUCUCUCCAUUUCUUGUGAGUUGGGAAAAAACAGAAAACUUCACUUACAUUUCUAGAUUAGAGACUUGUAAUUUCGUUUAAAAAAUACAAAUUCCUAAUCAACUGGGGUGAUUUGAUGUAGCACGUAUAUUUCUUUUACAUUACAGUACUUACCAUAUUUUUUGGAGCAUAAGACACACUCCCCCCUCCCCCCCCCCAAAAAAAAAGUGGGUGGAAAUGUCUGUGUGUCUUAUACAGCUAAUACAGGCCCAUUUUUGGCCUCUGGAGGUCUUGUUUUUGUUCUCCAUGGUGCCCCAGAAGCAC